This 4360-nucleotide small RNA is filed under the name Rattus norvegicus (Norway rat). RNAcentral's name for it is "uncharacterized LOC102548079". The record is from RNAcentral. Lineage: Eukaryota; Metazoa; Chordata; Mammalia; Rodentia; Muridae.
GUGUCUGUGUGUCUGUGUAUGUAUCAGAAUGGAACCACAAAGCCUGGACCCUCUAAAUGCAAAGAAACCUUAGGUGGGGAUUAUGGAAAACCAUGCUGGUGCUUGGUCCCUUCCUCCUCAGUGGAGCUCAGUGUAGGCCAGGCAGUCUUAAAUACUUUUCCUCUAUCCUCUACCAAGUCCCACUCACCUGGAGGACAAAAACCUCCCAGGCAAAGCCCACAGGGAUCUUUUGCCUUUGUUCCUCCUCACCUAGGCACUCCUGGGCACAUGGCACAAGCCUGUAUGCUCCUUCCCAUCCUAGACCAUGAAGUCACAGUUGGGGUCUCUCCUUGUUGGAAUUCUCUCUGUGGCUCUGCGGCCCUGAAGAGAGUGACGAGGUGUGCAGACUUGAGGCUGAUUGAAUGGGAGGCCACCCUACCUCUCGCCACCUCAGUCACCUCUGAAUACCAUCUCAUCCAAAAAAGCACUGCACAUUAGGCCGUCAAUAUACAAAUUUGGACGGAGACAUAAUUUUAGUCCCUAAUAGUCACACGGUAAGUACCUAACAACUUUAGACCCUCCCCUUUUCUCUAGACCCUCCCUCGUCACACACACCCCUCACUAGCUAGAAUGAAGCUUGAGGGGAAGACCUAGAAAAUCAGUUGCUUCUAGGUCAGUGUUCUGGAGGAAGCUUUUGAAGGGAGCAACUGGUAAGCUGUCUCCCUGGUUCAUGGGGGCCCCCAAGUACCUUGCAGUGUGUAUGCGGAUUGGCUACUCUGCCUUGUGGCUGUGACCCCAGCCUUCAGGUAAGAAUCCUCCAUAUAGGAUUCCCAUCCCCACCACGGCAGCUGAUGCCACUUAUGCUUCGGUUCUGGGGAGUGGGGGAGACCCCACUCCUUCCAGGCCUGCCCCGGGCACUUGUGAUCUCAUAAGACAGAAGAGGCCACAGGCAGGCCUCAAUGGAGAUGGGCUUAAGGCACCAGCAACCAGAGGCUGCCAGAGGCCUCCUGCAGCCAUUUCACGACUGCCUUCAUCCUUGUCACUAAUGAGCCUUCGAUUCCAGGAAACUCUGAAAGGAAGAAGGGACACCUGCAUCCUGUUGGGAGAGAGCCCUGACGUAGUGAAAAAGCACAAUGAGACAGAGCUAGGAGUGGCACAGGCCAGAUGAGGGUCACGAGGGCUCAGGAGAAGAUGGUGACCCAGCUGAGUCUGGAAUGGGGAGGAUACUACAGCUGAAUGCAAGCCGGAGGCCCAGAAACAGGACACACACGGUACAGGGGCCAAUUUCCAUGUAACCAGGUGAGCCACAGCCUGAGCAGAAGACCAAGUCCUCUUAAGCGGAGGCCGGGGCUUUGAACACACCUGAGAGGGUGCUCAAAGCCUGUCUGCCACCAGGCAUCUCUACAGACAGACCCCGAGUGGGAGAGGCCAGUCUGUUCUCUCUCGGCCCCUACACCUCUGCUGUGUCUGAACUAAACCCUGCCCUGCAGCUUGGCAGCCCCAAACACUCUGCCCACUGUCAGCAUUACUGCUUUCCAGGAAUCUCCUGUUUUUCAAACUAUUUUUGCCAAGAUGUGUUUUUUUUGCAAACUCCUGGGCCCACCUCCCUUCCCCUCAGUUGAACUGAUGAAACCAUUCAUCUUCCAGCCCCAAGCAGACUCCCUGACACCCCACCCUCACUCCAACUCACUCCAGGUUCUGGCCAAGAACCAGAAGUCCUAGAUGUGGAAGGCAGGCCUGUUUGUCUCCACCAGAGCUGGCGGCACCGAGGGGCUGUGGUCUGCUCGCCCCCUGGCAGUGCACACACUGGCAGACACUCCCCAGGGUACACACUUGUACUGCAAGCUACGUGUUCUGGCAAGAAACAGCAAAGACUCAUUUCCGUCUAUAUUUUGACAGAGAUUAAGGGCAAAGGCCUUUUCUAAAUCAUUCUCCAAAGAGCCAUACUUCAGACUCGUUCUGCAGCUCAGUGUCUCCCGCCCCACAGAAGCCCAUCAAUACUCAUCAAUACGGUAGAUAUUUGUUCAAAUUCCAUAGUGAGUGCAGGUUGGCGAUGGAGGAAGGGCUUCAGGCUUGAUCAUGCCUGGUGCCUGGCUAUUGUUUUAACUCAACUGUGCAAGAAAACCAUGGUGUUUACCAGCCCACAGCCAUCCUUCAGCAGACCCCACAGACACCUAAGGAUGGAAGAUAUAUUGAGUUAUGGAGUAUGAAAUAUUAUCAGAGUUUGGUGUCUAUUAAUGUCUUAAGGAGAAUUCCAUCCUAUGGGAAAAUCUAAAAAUCCCAUAGCAAGUACAUAGAUCCCACUCACUUUCCUUCUCCCUGUCCCCAGAUACCUCCUGGUUUAGUUACCCAAGAGCAGCCACGGUUGUCUCUGCUGCCUCGAGCUAUCACAAAGGUACCACUCCGGGACACGGGUUGAAGACACACAGCCUUUUAACAUGACAUUUAACUGAGAGUUGGUGCCAAAGAGUCCUUGUGAGGAAGAGUCUCACUGUAUUCGGGGCAGCUAGAGUCAACCCACGCGCCUCCCUCUGGGGCUCAAAGGACUUGGGUUGUGGGACCUGCAGGCACCACCGUCAUCACCGACAGUCUCUUAUCUUAAAAUCCGAGCCCAUCACAAAUGGUGGGAACUCGGAGUGGAGGAAGGAGUGCGAGCUGCCAGAGUGGAGAGCAAUGAAGAUCUCCCCCAGGGACAGGAGCGCCCUUGGCCUGUGCCAUUGGCAAGGAGAAUGUGCCUGGUAAGAGGCAAAGAGAGUGGCGCGGUGGGGCUUUGCCGUCCUACUCCCCCGCUGCCCUCUCUCUCUCUUCGUUUCUCAACACAGUGACUUAAAGAUCCACAGUGUGCGCGCAGUCUGCGGUCCUGGCAACGUGGUAGGCCCUGGGAGCGUGAUGAGGAAGAGGACACACACAACCACCUUGCUCACGUAGUUUCUGUGUUAGAUACCUUCAGCUUUUCUAAAGCACAGCCUCCCAGAGGACAGCUUGGAUUCUAACAGUCUCUUAAGGACGGCUCAGUCUCCAUUCCAAUAUGACAGACAAGUGUGUGAAGGGAAGGUGGAUGAUGGCUGCCAUGAAUUAGAAGAAGACAUCUUUGACCUCACCACUCAAGAACUCCCCAGCCAUAUUCUUUAAGUUGAUUUCUCCUUGCCUCAUCACCAAGGUUCAUAGCAUUGAGCUGGAACUAAUGAUGGAUAAAGAGGAGGCUACUUCUGUGUGGCCAGGGUAGUGCUGGGGUAGCCUGUGAGAGGUCUGUUCAAGAGACUUACAUUUUCUCAAAUUCUUUCAAAUUACCAAUAACCACCCUGUGCCCCAACCAUCAACUCUGGGUGGUUAUUAGCAUUGGUUCUGGUCUCUAACCUCUCCCUUUACUGUUAACCCAGUGCUAAGCCCUCCACACCAUUGAGGAAAUGACCCAGAGGCAAGAGUAGGACCUAGUCCAGACUACAGCUCCACAGGGAACUGUGUCAAGCCAAAGCUCCUGGGACAACUGGGAAACCUUUGCCUGUCGGUCCCUUAAUGCCCAGCUAAGUGGUCAGAUGACAGACAGGUAAGCAGGGGUCACCACCAGUGCGGUAUUAGGUGUCUUCCUCUGUAUGGGGUCUGAGUGAGAGAUUGGUAUAGACAUUCUUCUUUAAUGUCCCCAGGCAAGGAUUCCACUAACAGUGAUGCUGCGGGCUUCUGUCGAAAUCAAACUGUUGUUCACUGUUUGAAGUUCCUCUACAUUGUAUGAAGCAAUAGUUUUUCAAGUUGCAUCUUGUCCUGAAGGACUCCAUUUUACAAAUGAAGGACCACAGGGACUCUGAACUUCACUGUCUAGCACCAACCACAAGGCACAGACUGAUUAAUGACAUAUUCUCAAAAGUGAACACAUUAUCACUCUACAAAUGUAUCAGAGCAUCUUGAGACCAUAUGAGCCCAUGGACAUACAAAAAUCACAGUAAGAAUACCAGGCCUGAGAGCUAAUCGAACACACCAGAAGAAGAACAACAGUUCCCACCAACCCCUGUUAGGCUUCACACUACUGCUGCUAAGUUCAUCUUGAACUGCCUCCCAUCUGUCCACCUGAUGGUUCAUCUAGACCCAGUCCAUCCCUUUGUCUCUACGGCCUCCACAAUCACACUCUUCACAUGGGCAGCUCAGGCUGACCUCAGACGCAACUUAGCUCUGACACACCCUGUAGAUCUGUAAGAGGUUAAUUACAUGAUUCCAACAGAGGCUUGCUUUGCUUCUGUGCUUCCCCCCACCCCCCUACCCUCGCUUUGGCCUUUCAGUAAAGUCACCUCCUUGAGCUAUAUUUCUUUAACUAUUUUCAACUAUUUUGUGACCUACAGAAGGAGAGAGAGAGAGAGAGAGAGAGAGAGAGAGAGAAAGAGACAGAGAC